RNAcentral lists this RNase P RNA (407 nucleotides) under Hyphomicrobiales bacterium. RNAcentral's name for it is "Rhizobiales bacterium RNase P RNA component class A". It matches the Rfam family "Bacterial RNase P class A". Rfam says of the family: Ribonuclease P (RNase P) is a ubiquitous endoribonuclease, found in archaea, bacteria and eukarya as well as chloroplasts and mitochondria. Its best characterised activity is the generation of mature 5'-ends of tRNAs by cleaving the 5'-leader elements of precursor-tRNAs. The record is from RNAcentral. Lineage: Bacteria; Pseudomonadati; Pseudomonadota; Alphaproteobacteria; Hyphomicrobiales.
CCAGUCGGCCGGACGGCCGCUCUCGCUCGCGAGGGAGGAAAGUCCGGGCUCCACGGAAAUACGGUGCCGGAUAACGUCCGGCGGGGGCGACCCCAGGGAAAGCGCCACAGAGAUCGAACCGCCUUGCGCUGGAGAGCUUCGGCUUUUCCGGCGAGGUAAGGGUGAAAAGGUGCGGUAAGAGCGCACCGCGGACCCGGCAACGGGGACGGCAUGGCAAGCCCCACCGGGAGCAAAACCGAAUAGGGACGAUGCUGCCCGCGCAAGCGGGGAGGGGCAGGUUUCUGUGCCUUGUCGUCCGGGUUGGUUGCUCGAGGCGCGCAGCAAUGCGCGUCCCAGAGGAAUGGCCGUCACGUCGGGGGAGCGAUCCUCCGGCCAUCCAAAACCCGGCUUACAGGCCGACUGGCGCU